RNAcentral lists this ribosomal RNA (1372 nucleotides) under uncultured bacterium. Its description in RNAcentral is "bacterial SSU rRNA". It matches the Rfam family "Bacterial small subunit ribosomal RNA", at positions 28 to 1381 of the family's 1533-position model. The record is from RNAcentral.
GAUGAACGCUGGCGGCGUGCCUAAUACAUGCAAGUCGAGCGAACGGACGAGAAGCUUGCUUCUCUGAUGUUAGCGGCGGACGGGUGAGUAACACGUGGAUAACCUACCUAUAAGACUGGGAUAACUUCGGGAAACCGGAGCUAAUACCGGAUAAUAUUUUGAACCGCAUGGUUCAAAAGUGAAAGACGGUCUUGCUGUCACUUAUAGAUGGAUCCGCGCUGCAUUAGCUAGUUGGUAAGGUAACGGCUUACCAAGGCAACGAUGCAUAGCCGACCUGAGGGGGUGAUCGGCCACACUGGAACUGAGACACGGUCCAGACUCCUACGGGAGGCAGCAGUAGGGAAUCUUCCGCAAUGGGCGAAAGCCUGACGGAGCAACGCCGCGUGAGUGAUGAAGGUCUUCGGAUCGUAAAACUCUGUUAUUAGGGAAGAACAUAUGUGUAAGUAACUGUGCACAUCUUGACGGUACCUAAUCAGAAAGCCACGGCUAACUACGUGCCAGCAGCCGCGGUAAUACGUAGGUGGCAAGCGUUAUCCGGAAUUAUUGGGCGUAAAGCGCGCGUAGGCGGUUUUUUAAGUCUGAUGUGAAAGCCCACGGCUCAACCGUGGAGGGUCAUUGGAAACUGGAAAACUUGAGUGCAGAAGAGGAAAGUGGAAUUCCAUGUGUAGCGGUGAAAUGCGCAGAGAUAUGGAGGAACACCAGUGGCGAAGGCGACUUUCUGGUCUGUAACUGACGCUGAUGUGCGAAAGCGUGGGGAUCAAACAGGAUUAGAUACCCUGGUAGUCCACGCCGUAAACGAUGAGUGCUAAGUGUUAGGGGGUUUCCUCCCCUUAGUGCUGCAGCUAACGCAUUAAGCACUCCGCCUGGGGAGUACGACCGCAAGGUUGAAACUCAAAGGAAUUGACGGGGACCCGCACAAGCGGUGGAGCAUGUGGUUUAAUUCGAAGCAACGCGAAGAACCUUACCAAAUCUUGACAUCCUUUGACAACUCUAGAGAUAGAGCCUUCCCCUUCGGGGGACAAAGUGACAGGUGGUGCAUGGUUGUCGUCAGCUCGUGUCGUGAGAUGUUGGGUUAAGUCCCGCAACGAGCGCAACCCUUAAGCUUAGUUGCCAUCAUUAAGUUGGGCACUCUAAGUUGACUGCCGGUGACAAACCGGAGGAAGGUGGGGAUGACGUCAAAUCAUCAUGCCCCUUAUGAUUUGGGCUACACACGUGCUACAAUGGACAAUACAAAGGGCAGCGAAACCGCGAGGUCAAGCAAAUCCCAUAAAGUUGUUCUCAGUUCGGAUUGUAGUCUGCAACUCGACUACAUGAAGCUGGAAUCGCUAGUAAUCGUAGAUCAGCAUGCUACGGUGAAUACGUUCCCGGGUCU